This 421-nucleotide ribosomal RNA is filed under the name uncultured bacterium. RNAcentral's name for it is "partial 16S ribosomal RNA". It matches the Rfam family "Bacterial small subunit ribosomal RNA", at positions 360 to 773 of the family's 1533-position model. The record is from RNAcentral.
AAUAUUGGACAAUGGGGGCAACGCUGAUCCAGCCAUGCCGCGUGUGUGCAGAAGGUCUUCGGAUUGUAAAGCACUUUAAGUUGGGAGGAAUGUCUUUAGGCUAAUAUCCUGAAGUUUUGACGUUACCAACAGAUUAGGCACCGGCUAACUCUGUGACAGCAGCCGCGGUAAUACGGAGGGUGCAAGAGUUAAUCAGAAUUACUGGGCGUAAAGCGCGCGUAGGUGGUUAAGUAAGAUUGGUGUGAAAUCCCCGGGCUUAACCUGGGAACUGCUUUCAUAACUGCUGAGCUAGAGUACGGUAGAGGGUAGUGGAAUUUCCUGUGUAGCGGUGAAAUGCGUAGAUAUAGGAAGGAACACCAGUGGCGAAGGCGACUACCUGGACUGAUACUGACACUGAGGUGCGAAAGCGUGGGGAGCAAAC